Molecule: ribosomal RNA, 492 nt
Filed under: uncultured bacterium
Lineage: Bacteria
Description: partial 16S ribosomal RNA
Rfam family: Bacterial small subunit ribosomal RNA
Source: RNAcentral
AGUGAACGCUGGCGGUAGGCCUAACACAUGCAAGUCGAACGGCAGCACAGUAAGAGCUUGCUCUUACGGGUGGCGAGUGGCGGACGAGUGAGGAAUACAUCGGAAUCUACUUUUUCGUGGGGGAUAACGUAGGGAAACUUACGCUAAUACCGCAUACGACCUACGGGUGAAAGCAGGGGAUCUUCGGACCUUGCGCGAUUGAAUGAGCCGAUGUCGGAUUAGCUAGUUGGCGGGGUAAAGGCCCACCAAGGCGACGAUCCGUAGCUGGUCUGAGAGGAUGAUCAGCCACACUGGAACUGAGACACGGUCCAGACUCCUACGGGAGGCAGCAGUGGGGAAUAUUGGGCAAUGGGCGCAAGCCUGAUCCAGCCAUACCGCGUGGGUGAAGAAGGCCUUCGGGUUGUAAAGCCCUUUUGUUGGGAAAGAAAAGCAGCAGGUUAAUACCCCGCUGUUCUGACGGUACCCAAAGAAUAAGCACCGGCUAACUUCGUG